RNAcentral lists this ribosomal RNA (497 nucleotides) under uncultured bacterium. RNAcentral's name for it is "partial 16S ribosomal RNA". It matches the Rfam family "Bacterial small subunit ribosomal RNA", at positions 28 to 507 of the family's 1533-position model. The record is from RNAcentral.
GAUGAACGCUGGCGGCGUGCCUAAUACAUGCAAGUCGAGCGAACAGAUCAGGAGCUUGCUGGUUUGACGUUAGCGGCGGAGGGGUGAGUAACACGUGGGUAACCUACCUAUAAGACUGGAAUAACUCCGGGAAACCGGCGCUAACGCCGGAUAACAUCUAGAACCGCAUGGUGCUAUGGUGAAAGAUGGUUUUGCUAUCACUACUAGAUGGACACGCGCGGUAUGAGCUAGUUGGUAAGGUAACGGGUUACGAAGGCAAGGAUACGUAGCCGACCUGAGAGGGUGAUAGCCGGCAUGGGAGCGGAGACGGCGUCAAGAGGCCUAAGAGAGGCAGCAGAAGGGAACGGGACGCAGUGGGCGAAAACCUGACGGAGUGAGGGCGCGUGAGUGAUAGAAGUCUUGGGAGCGUGAAACUGGGUUUUGAGGGAUAAACAACUGUGUAAGGAACCGUGCAGGUCUUGACGGUACCGAAUCAGAAAGCCACGGCUAACUACGUG